Long non-coding RNA from Erigeron canadensis, 1302 nucleotides. RefSeq lists it as uncharacterized. The record is from RefSeq and is a predicted model, not a curated record. The transcript has 8 exons. NCBI's taxonomy places the organism in Eukaryota, Viridiplantae, Streptophyta, Magnoliopsida, Asterales, Asteraceae.
CUAAAAUACAAGCCACAAUUAAGAAGAAUCUCAUUCCAGCAUUUGAGAUUCUAUUUGAUGAAAGAGGCGUUAGAGAAAUCCGUAACUUCGCCAUCGCUUCCAAUGAAGGAGAUUACAUGCUUGUGAAUCAUACGCAUAAGAUCAACUUCUACAAGACAACUACUGUUCGCGUCUCUGAUGAAUUUGUGGAUAUUGUGGAUCCGUAUACGUUUGUGUCAAUCCCCGAUUUGCUAAGCAACAACAUUGAUGCUCGCGUUGCAUUCGAUUUUCUUGGUCAAGUGGUCUCAGCAGAACCCAUGCGAGUCAUUAUUGAGAAAUCAAUUGAAAAAAAAUUAAUGAAUCUGGUUGCCAAGGAUCAAAGAUCAUCCUCAGGUUAGUAAUUGUCUAUUUGGAUCAAGGUUGUUCAUAAAUGAUGACACACCUCAGAUUUUGGCCUUCAAAGAAAGUUGAGGAUCCCACAUAAGUGACACAACUUAAGUCUGGUACUGUUGUUUCCACUCCAAAAGAAUACUACCUUCAACAUGUGAUCAGAAACAUUGAUGAUAUUCCCAACUAUGUUAAGAAGGAGGAGGAAGUUGGUUUAACCAUUAUUGCUACUAUAAUCUCUUUUGCCGUGGAGGAAGGAUGGUAUUCUUUUUAUUGUCAUGAACACUCAAUAAAGGUGACUAAAAAUGAUGAUGAUAGUGACUCUCAACCUUUUAACUGUGAAAAAUGUGGUGGAGUUUCGGAUGUGUAUGUGAAGGCCAGGGUAGUAGUUCGUCUUCAAGAUGAAACUGGAUCUUCCUCAUUCAUAUUGUUUGAUCGUUAUAUAAAAGAUAUGUUGUGUUGAGGAAAAAAAUGGUUGGUGGAUAAAAUAUCGAAGGUUCCUAGCAACUAUGACAGUAGAAAAUUGAUCAAAAUAUUACAACAACAAGUAAUAUGUUGUAGCAGUUUCCACCAGAGCCGGCCUUGGCUAUGGGCAGUCUGGGCGACAGCCCUGAGCAACAAGAAACUUAGGGGCAUACAAUUUUGAGGAAAUGAAGUAUAAAAUAAAGUGAAACUUAAAGUUACAUUUUAAUGGAGUUUUGAAGCAGAGGAACAAGUCAACAAGAGAGGAAGAAGACGAACAGUAACACAUUUUUUUUCAUUUUAUUUCUAUAAAACCCCUACAAUAAUUUAAAAGUAUAAUAUGAGUCCCUAAACUAUAAAGACAUUAACUAUGCAGCUUUCUAACUUUCUCAGUUGGCUAUUAAAUAAAGGUUUUGAUCGUUUAUCUUACAUUUGUAACCAUUGGUCCAUAUAUUAACAUGGUAGUUUAUCUUA